Molecule: non-coding RNA, 113 nt
Organism: Acanthosepion pharaonis
Lineage: Eukaryota; Metazoa; Mollusca; Cephalopoda; Sepiida; Sepiidae
Source: the annotation of a GenBank genome assembly
UUACGGCCACAUCAUGUUGAAACACCUGUUUCCAUAUGAUUACUGAAGUUAAGCAGCAUCAAUCCUGGUCAGUAUCUAGAUGGGUGACCACUUGGAAAUACCAGGUGCUGUAA